GACGAACGCUGGCGGCGUGCUUAACACAUGCAAGUCGAACGAUGAAGCUCUAGCUUGCUGGGGUGGAUUAGUGGCGAACGGGUGAGUAACACGUGAGUAACCUGCCCUUUACUUCGGGAUAAGCUUGGGAAACUGGGUCUAAUACCGGAUAUUCUGCGUGAUCGGAUGGUUGUGUAGGAAAGAUUUUUUGGUAAGGGAUGGGCUCGCGGCCUAUCAGUUUGUUGGUGGGGUGAUGGCCUACCAAGACGACGACGGGUAGCCGGCCUGAGAGGGCGACCGGCCACACUGGGACUGAGACACGGCCCAGACUCCUACGGGAGGCAGCAGUGGGGAAUAUUGCACAAUGGGGGAAACCCUGAUGCAGCGACGCCGCGUGGGGGAUGACGGCCUUCGGGUUGUAAACCUCUUUCAGUAGGGAAGAAGCGAAAGUGACGGUACCUGCAGAAGAAGUACCGGCUAACUACGUGCCAGCAGCCGCGGUAAUACGUAGGGUACUAGCGUUGUCCGAAAUAUUGGGCGUAAAGAGCUCGUAGGUGGUUUGUCGCGUCUGCUGUGGAAACGUGCCGCUUAACGGUGCGCGUGCAGUGGGUACGGGCGGACUAGAGUGCAGUAGGGGAGUCUGGAAUUCCUGGUGUAGCGGUGAAAUGCGCAGAUAUCAGGAGGAACACCGGUGGCGAAGGCGGGACUCUGGGCUGUUACUGACGCUGAGGAGCGAAAGCAUGGGGAGCGAACAGGAUUAGAUACCCUGGUAGUCCAUGCCGUAAACGUUGGGCACUAGGUGUGGGGUCCAUUCCACGGAUUCUGCGCCGUAGCUAACGCAUUAAGUGCCCCGCCUGGGGAGUACGGCCGCAAGGCUAAAACUCAAAGGAAUUGACGGGGGCCCGCACAAGCGGCGGAGCAUGCGGAUUAAUUCGAUGCAACGCGAAGAACCUUACCAAGGCUUGACAUGCACUAGACCAUCGCAGAGAUGUGGUUUUCUUUUUGACUGGUGUACAGGUGGUGCAUGGUUGUCGUCAGCUCGUGUCGUGAGAUGUUGGGUUAAGUCCCGCAACGAGCGCAACCCUCGUUCUAUGUUGCCAGCACGUGAUGGUGGGAACUCAUGGGAGACUGCCGGGGUCAACUCGGAGGAAGGUGGGGAUGACGUCAAAUCAUCAUGCCCUUUAUGUCUUGGGCUUCACGCAUGCUACAAUGGCCGGUACAGAGGGUGGCGAUACCGUGAGGUGGAGCGAAUCUCUUAAAGCCGGUCUCAGUUCGGAUCGUAGUCUGCAACUCGACUACGUGAAGUCGGAGUCGCUAGUAAUCGCAGAUCAGCAAUGCUGCGGUGAAUACGUUCCCGGGCCU
RNAcentral lists this ribosomal RNA (1341 nucleotides) under uncultured bacterium. Its description in RNAcentral is "bacterial SSU rRNA". It matches the Rfam family "Bacterial small subunit ribosomal RNA", at positions 28 to 1381 of the family's 1533-position model. The record is from RNAcentral.